Molecule: small nucleolar RNA, 93 nt
Organism: Mangifera indica (mango)
Lineage: Eukaryota; Viridiplantae; Streptophyta; Magnoliopsida; Sapindales; Anacardiaceae
Product: small nucleolar RNA snoR31/Z110/Z27
Exons: 1
Source: RefSeq, a predicted model, not a curated record
GUUGUCAAGUGAUGAAAUCUGGAAAAUCUUAGGACACCUUCCUACACGGCUGUCUAGCUGUGGAUGAGAACAACAUUCCAGACUGAUGAUGAU